GCAGGAACAGCAAGAAGCAGAGUGAGAGAGAUGUUGUUUGAAGCCGUGAGACUGAGUGAGAUCAUGGAGGAAGUGAAUGUAAAUAGAAAAGGGAAGAAGUCUGAAGACGGAGCCCUGAGACACUCCAUUGUAAACUGGAAGAUGAGGAAGAGCCAGCAAAGGAGACUGAGAAGGGGCAGCCAGUGAAGAUGGAGCCAGGGCUAGAGUAAGAGCCCCUUCUGGGAUGCUGUGACCCCCAAGUUUGAAGACUGCUGAUAACCCCAAUCUACGAAGACUAGCUAUGGAACUUCCUACACUGAGACAACUCCAGUGGAACUCUGAUAAUUAUCCUAAAAUAAGGAGGCUUCUUCAGUAGCCCUCGAAAUAUGUUCAAAUACAUGAUUACAUUUAUGUCCUUAAUAUUGCUAUUAGUUUCUGAUGUUAAUGUAAAAGUUGGGGAAAAAGUGGAAAAGUUAAAGCAGUGCAGGUUAAUUCAAUGCCAGAGUAACUUCUCAGAGGGUGUAUAUUCAGUGUGAACAAUUUUCAACAGAGAAAUGUCAACUUCUGGCCACAACGGCAACCAGUAAAAUGACUAUUUUUACUGUCUUAUCUAUUAAUGAAGAGGAGAUUGCAUAAUAUAGAUGAAGGAGCAUAGUAUUUGCAGGUGGAACGCCUAGCAGGGCUUGAGUCUCAACUCUGCUGCUUUUACUCUAAUUGACCGAGACAAGUCAUUUAAACUAAUAGAGCUUCAAUUUUCUCAUAUCUAAUGUAACAUAACAAUUCACAGCCUUUUACUUUGUAGUUAUCGUGAAGAUCUAAUCGCAGUGAAAUAUAUUUAUAUAUCUGUCUGCUGAUAGAACUUUUGUCAUAGAGGCUAGUCCAUUUUAUGUCAACGGGGCUUAAAUAAGAUCUGUGCCAGCAACUGAAUUACACUAAUGAGUGAGUAAUUACAAAAGAAGCCUGCUUUAUCAAUCUAUAUAAAGAAGAAAGUUACUGAGUAUGGAGGGGAGAUUCUCCUUUCAUAUUGGCACUCAUUCUUACUUUCCCUGAAAUAGAGAUUAUAGUAGUCUACCAGCAAUUUUCAAACUUCAAUUCUGGCCUGGAAAUUGGACAGAAGGGGUCCAAGGACAAUGAACCGAAAGUGCCAGUGAAUGUCUCAGUGCAGACUUGGAGUCAUAGUGGUUAAUUUGCAAAAUUAACUCCCUAUUCAGACUUCAGGCAGUUACAUGUCAACCAACAUCAACUUCGACCCUUAAUCUUCAGCCUCAACCUAGUAAUAAUAUCUCUGAGGUGAAUAAGCUAUGAAGUGGACAUUUCCACCUUCCUUUAUUUUAUUUUAUUUAUUUUUUUGAGAUGGAGUCUUGCUGUGUUCCCCAGGAUGGAGUGCAGUGGCACAAUCUGGGCUCACUGUAACCUCUGCCUCCUGGGUACAAGAGAUUCUCCUGCCUCAGCCUCCCGAGUAGCUGGGACUAGAGGUGUGUGCCACCACGCCUGGCUAAUUUUUUGUAUUUUUAGUAGAGACAGUGUUUCACAGUGUUAGCCAGGCUUGUCUCUAUCUCCUGACCUCUUGAUCCACCC
Molecule: long non-coding RNA, 1557 nt
Filed under: Homo sapiens (human)
Lineage: Eukaryota; Metazoa; Chordata; Mammalia; Primates; Hominidae
Description: HSALNT0357905
Source: RNAcentral